Long non-coding RNA from Passer domesticus (house sparrow), 1348 nucleotides. RefSeq lists it as uncharacterized. The record is from RefSeq and is a predicted model, not a curated record. Lineage: Eukaryota; Metazoa; Chordata; Aves; Passeriformes; Passeridae. The transcript has 5 exons.
CAAACACGGCUGUACACAACUCUCGUACAUCUUGAUUUUUUUGGGAUUGACUCCUGCACACUGACUGGGGCAUGUGGAGUGUGUUCUACUUGCCAUCAUUUGUUUCAGCAAACAUAUUUCUACUGUACAGAGGGUGAGUAUUUUUGGAAAUUAUUUAAUUAAAUUUUUUUCAGGUUAAUGAAACCCAAGUUAAUCUGUACACAAACAGAAGACAACUGUUCAAGCUUACUAAAUUUUUGCAAGACUUGAACAAAGACAAUACAAGAUUGUGCAUUAAUAGGUGAUUUCCCAAACGUGCCUUCAUGUCUGAAAUAUGAAAGCUAAGUCAUUGGUAGGAAGAGCCUACUUCUUGAGGAAAAACGAAAAUCUAUUGUCCAAGAAGAUUAAAUCCUUAACCACUCAGUUAAAGUCACAAAUUAUCAGGUCUGCAAAGAGUUUUUUCCUCUAAGGACUGCAGAAAGGCCUGCAACAUCUCUCCGAGGUCAAAAUGUGUGCCUGACAAGGAUAUGCAGAAUGCAAUUUGCUUUAGGUGGCAUAGUCUAGUUGACCACAAAGUGUCUCAGCUUAGCCAACUGAGCUUGGAAGAUCCUGUGAGUGAAAGCUUUUGGACCACAGCAGGAAACUCUGGAUUCCCCAGCACAGGAAACCAUUGAUCUGUUGGAGUGAGGAGACCACAAAGGUGGGUAAAGGAUUGGAGCACCGCUCCUGUGAAGACAUGCUGGGAUCUGUUUGGCCAGCAGAAAAGGCGGCUCUGGGAUGACCCCUUCAAUACACAGAAAAGACUUUUAGGAAAGGAGGCAGCAUUUCACCAAGGUAUGUAGUGACAGGACAAAGUUUAAGAGUUUUACAAUGAAAAAAGUUUAGAUUGAACAUAGGGAAGAAAAUUGCUACAAUAAAGGUGGUGAGGCACUGUCACAAGUUGCCCAGAGAAGCUGUGGAUAACCCAUUCCUGGAAGUCCUUGAAAGGUUCAAGGGUGGCUCUGAGCAACUUGCUCUAGUGAAAGAUGUCCCUGUCCCAUGACCUUUAAAGGUCCCUUCCGACUAUUCUGUGAUUUUGAGAUGCUACUUCAAAAAUCUGAUCCGUUGCUGGGACACUAUAAGCAGUAAUAAAUUUGACAACUGCUACUUCUAACAAUAAUAUACUGUAUUUUAUUCCUUAUAUCAAGUUUAAGACAUUCUAAGCUGGGAUCACACAAAACCUACCAACUGCAGUCUGGCCUGCAGCAAAAAAAGAUUAUCCAGCAUAAAAGCUCAGGCUUAAAUUACAAGAAAUUCAAAGAAAAAGAGCUACCUGAGCCUCCUCAGAAAAAGCAUAUUAAUUCUUCAGUAGUGUUCAGAUCAGAAAUUA